UACGUAGGGUGCAAGCGUUGUCCGGAAUUAUUGGGCGUAAAGAGCUCGUAGGCGGUCUGUCGCGUCUGCCGUGAAAGUCCGGGGCUCAACUCCGGAUCUGCGGUGGGUACGGGCAGACUAGAGUGAUGUAGGGGAGACUGGAAUUCCUGGUGUAGCGGUGAAAUGCGCAGAUAUCAGGAGGAACACCGGUGGCGAAGGCGGGUCUCUGGGCCGAUACUGACGCUGAGGAGCGAAAGCGUGGGGAGCGAACAGG
RNAcentral lists this ribosomal RNA (253 nucleotides) under uncultured bacterium. RNAcentral's name for it is "partial 16S ribosomal RNA". It matches the Rfam family "Bacterial small subunit ribosomal RNA", at positions 524 to 776 of the family's 1533-position model. The record is from RNAcentral.